This 401-nucleotide ribosomal RNA is filed under the name uncultured bacterium. RNAcentral's name for it is "bacterial SSU rRNA". It matches the Rfam family "Bacterial small subunit ribosomal RNA", at positions 355 to 773 of the family's 1533-position model. The record is from RNAcentral.
UAGGGAAUCUUGGACAAUGGGCGAAAGCCUGAUCCAGCCAUGCCGCGUGAGUGAUGAAGGCCUUAGGGUUGUAAAGCUCUUUCGCCAGGGAAGAUAAUGACGGUACCUGGAUAAGAAGCCCCGGCUAACUUCGUGCCAGCAGCCGCGGUAAUACGAAGGGGGCUAGCGUUGUUCGGAAUUACUGGGCGUAAAGCGCACGUAGGCGGCUUUCCAAGUUGGAGGUGAAAUCCCCGGGCUUAACCCGGGAACUGCCUCCAAAACCGAAAGGCUAGAGUCCGAGAGAGGUGAGUGCAAUUUCCAGUGUCGAGGUGAAAUUCGUAGAUAUUGGAAACAACACCAGUGGCGAAGGCGGCUCACUGGCUCGGUACUGACGCUGAGGUGCGACAGCGUGGGGAGCAAAC